AAACAAGUAAACUUAUUUUUAGAACCAACGUAUAAACUAAAACAAACACCCUUUUAGUAACUGAAUGUCAUGCCUCAAUGUCUCUUAGAGAAAGUUCUUGGACUUCCAUGGUUCACACAUGUAUCGUCCAAAUAUUUAUGUUUUCAACAAAUCUAUGAUUUCCAUCACUGCAAUGCAAUUUUAAGCUUUAAUUUUGAUUCUGACUUUAAAGAAAGCUCCACAUGAAAGAGAAU
RNAcentral lists this unclassified non-coding RNA (233 nucleotides) under Hevea brasiliensis (rubber tree). The record is from RNAcentral. Lineage: Eukaryota; Viridiplantae; Streptophyta; Magnoliopsida; Malpighiales; Euphorbiaceae.